CGUGCAACAAAGCUGCGGAGGCGGGCCGCUCCCGGCAGGCUCUGCGUGGCACGUGGAGGAUGCCUGCGCCCUUCUCGAAGCCCAGUAGGCGGCGGUGGUGAUGACCGUGGGUCAGGGCCCCGGACCGGCUUCCAGCCGAAGACCCACGCAGCUACAACCGGGUCUCCCUAUGUAGCUCAGGCUGGCCUCCAGCUCACUGCUGUCCUGCUCAGCCUCCCAUGUGCUGCGCUUACAGGUGUAGGCCACCAUGCCCGGAAACUUCUUCAAACAUGAGUUGUAUUCACCACGUUAACAGCAUAAAGGAGAAACUAGCUAUGAUUUCAACAGACGAAAAUGAACUUGACAGAACUCACCUAGUAAUAAAAGCCCUGAGUAACAGAAAAGAGCCUCUUCAACUGGUAACAAGCAUGUGAAACCCCACAGCUAGCAUCAUGCCUGUGAUGCUCACCAAGCACUUCCGCCUAAGAUGAGGACAAACGACCAUGUCCACUCCCUGUAGCCAGGGUUACACUGAAAAUGCACAGACACUAAAAGUGAGCUUGACCUCGAGCUAGAGAGGAGGGGAGGGGAGGGGAGAGGAGGAAAGAAGAGACAAAAAGAAUUAGGGUGUGUUUUGUCCAUGGACUAACUCCCCACAACAAACGUGAUCAUGAUGUACUGAACACAUGUAAUAAAACCUUUUUAUAAACAA
Cavia porcellus (domestic guinea pig) is the source of this 691-nucleotide long non-coding RNA. RefSeq lists it as uncharacterized. NCBI's taxonomy places the organism in Eukaryota, Metazoa, Chordata, Mammalia, Rodentia, Caviidae. The transcript has 2 exons. The record is from RefSeq and is a predicted model, not a curated record.